Molecule: ribosomal RNA, 380 nt
Filed under: uncultured eukaryote
Lineage: Eukaryota
Description: partial 18S ribosomal RNA
Rfam family: Eukaryotic small subunit ribosomal RNA
Source: RNAcentral
CAAUAGCGUAUAUUAAAGUUGUUGCAGUUAGAACGCUCGUAGUCGGAUUUCGGGGCGGGCCGACCGGUCUGCCGAUGGGUAUGCACUGGUCGGCGCGUCCUUCCUUCCGGAGACCGUCCCUACUCUUAACUGAGCGGGGGCGGGAGACGGGACUUUUACUUUGAAAAAAUCAGAGUGUUUCAAGCAGGCAGCUCGCUCUUGCAUGGAUUAGCAUGGGAUAAUGAAAUAGGACUUUGGUGCUAUUUUGUUGGUUUCGAACACCGAAGUAAUGAUGAGAAGGGACAGUCAGGGGCACUCGUAUUCCGCCGAGAGAGGUGAAAUUCUCAGACCAGCGGAAGACGAACCACUGCGAAAGCAUUUGCCAGGGAUGUUUUCACUUA